This 239-nucleotide long non-coding RNA is filed under the name Prunus dulcis (almond). RNAcentral describes it as "sRNA ncRNA". The record is from RNAcentral. Lineage: Eukaryota; Viridiplantae; Streptophyta; Magnoliopsida; Rosales; Rosaceae.
CAUCCGGGUGAUGUCAGAAUUUCCACAAGAUUCAUCACGGGUUCUGAGAAAUUCAGGGCGGAUCCUGUCAACGGAGGAAGGGAGGAAGGGAGAAGGGGAGAGGGGAGGAAGAACAGUGGCUCCCUCCCCCUUUCAAAAUGAAAAUGGCUCUAGAGUGUUUUUGGCCAUGAACUUAGGGUGUAAUCUUAAUAAAUAAAUAUAGGGCUUUAUAAUAUGAGUAUAUUUGUAUUUCAAUGCGG